CUACGGGGUGCUGCAGUUAGGAAUAAUCUACAAUGCACGAAAGUGUGAUAGUUUGAGUCAAAGUGCGCUUCAAUUUGGAGUGCUUUUGUGGAAUGUAAAAAGUUCCACGAAUAAGGACUGGGUAAGACAGGUGCCAGCCGCUGCGGUAAUACCUGCGGUCCAAGUCGCAGCCAUUUUUAUUGGGUCUAAAACAUCCGUAGCUUGCUUGGUAAGUUUCUUGUGAAAUUCUAUAUCUUAAAUAUAGAGCGGGCAGGAAGUACUGCCAAGCUAGAGACUGGGAGACGUAAGAAGUACGUUUGAAGUAGCGGUAAAAUGUGUUAAUCUCAAGCGGACUCACAACAGCGAAGGCAUCUUACGAGAACAGUUCUGACAGUAAGGGAUGAAAGCUAGGGGCGCAAAACGGGUUAGAUACCCCCGUAGUC
This 422-nucleotide ribosomal RNA is filed under the name uncultured archaeon. RNAcentral describes it as "partial 16S ribosomal RNA". It matches the Rfam family "Archaeal small subunit ribosomal RNA", at positions 323 to 746 of the family's 1478-position model. The record is from RNAcentral.